GAUGAACGCUGGCGGCGUGCCUAAUACAUGCAAGUCGAGCGAACGGACGAGAAGCUUGCUUCUCUGAUGUUAGCGGCGGACGGGUGAGUAACACGUGGAUAACCUACCUAUAAGACUGGGAUAACCUCGGGAAACCGGAGCUAAUACCGGAUAAUAUUUUGAACCGCAUGGUUCAAAAGUGAAAGACGGUCUUGCUGUCACUUAUAGAUGGAUCCGCGCUGCAUUAGCUAGUUGGUAAGGUAACGGCUUACCAAGGCAACGAUGCAUAGCCGACCUGAGAGGGUGAUCGGCCACACUGGAACUGAGACACGGUCCAGACUCCUACGGGAGGCAGCAGUAGGGAAUCUUCCGCAAUGGGCGAAAGCCUGACGGAGCAACGCCGCGUGAGUGAUGAAGGUCUUCGGAUCGUAAAACCCUGUUAUUAGGGAAGAACAUAUGUGUAAGUAACUGUGCACAUCUUGACGGUACCUAAUCAGAAAGCCACGGCUAACUACGUG
Molecule: ribosomal RNA, 497 nt
Filed under: uncultured bacterium
Lineage: Bacteria
Description: partial 16S ribosomal RNA
Rfam family: Bacterial small subunit ribosomal RNA
Source: RNAcentral